This 119-nucleotide ribosomal RNA is filed under the name Pteropus alecto (black flying fox). The record is from RNAcentral. Lineage: Eukaryota; Metazoa; Chordata; Mammalia; Chiroptera; Pteropodidae.
GUCUAUGGCCAUGCUACCCCGAACACAUUCGAUCUCGUCUGAUCUCGGAAGCUAAGCAGGGUCGAGCCUGGUUAGUACUUGAAUGGGAGACCACCUAGGAUGACCAGGAGCUGUAGGCA